CUGUUAAUUACAGUACGAACCAGAGGGACCUGGACGCGGAGCUCAGGUGUAUUUAUGGCGUCGGCAGGUUGUACGGUUGUAGUGGGAGCUUCCUGGAUGCGUUGUGUUCUGGAGUACAGGGAGGGAUCCCUGUGCAAGUGGCUGAGGUGCCUGAACGUGCGGAGUGGGAGCCCAUACCGUGCGCCGUGUCCGAUUGUAGAGCGGUCAAGAAGCUUGCUAAAAGGGGGAGGCGGGAAGGUGGCUUACAGGAGAUACCCCUCUGUGUUUGAUUCGCUUAGGAGUGGGGGGGAUGAGCGGAGGGGAGGGAAA
This 309-nucleotide long non-coding RNA is filed under the name Androctonus crassicauda. The record is from RNAcentral. Lineage: Eukaryota; Metazoa; Arthropoda; Arachnida; Scorpiones; Buthidae.